CACCGAUUGAACACGUAUCACAUGACAAUCUCGAGUGGCGGGAGAUGCCUCCGUGGACGCUUAUUAACAUAUAUGAGUGCGUGCAAAACAAAAACUAGUGGUUUAUUACAAAAUGUAAAUUAGAUAUGAAUGCAGAGUGACGGAUGUCUAUUGGCCAGACCAGACUCCGCGAUCGACCCUACAACCAUACUCGGUGGCAUAUUGUUUAUUUUGCAUGUAUGUAUAUGUGUUCAACUGCUUGGCAUUUCAAUACGGACUAAGCGAGAAUCCUGUGGCUUUCGUUGGU
RNAcentral lists this long non-coding RNA (286 nucleotides) under Octopus vulgaris (common octopus). The record is from RNAcentral. Lineage: Eukaryota; Metazoa; Mollusca; Cephalopoda; Octopoda; Octopodidae.